AACGAACGCUGGCGGCAGGCUUAACACAUGCAAGUCGAACGCAUGCCUUCGGGCAUGAGUGGCAGACGGGUGAGUAACUCGUGGGAACCUACCCCUUGGUACGGGAUAGCUCCGGGAAACUGGAGAUAAUACCGUAUGUGUCCUGAGGGACAAAGAUUCAUCGCCAAGGGAUGGGCCCGCGUCGGAUUAGCUAGUUGGUGGGGUAACGGCCUACCAAGGCGACGAUCCGUAGCUGGUCUAAGAGGAUGAUCAGCCACAUUGGGACUGAGACACGGCCCAAACUCCUACGGGAGGCAGCAGUGGGGAAUAUUGGACAAUGGGCGCAAGCCUGAUCCAGCCAUGCCGCGUGAGUGAUGAAGGCCCUAGGGUUGUAAAGCUCUUUCACCGGUGACGAUAAUGACGGUAACCGGAGAAGAAGCCCCGGCUAACUUCGUG
This 435-nucleotide ribosomal RNA is filed under the name uncultured bacterium. Its description in RNAcentral is "partial 16S ribosomal RNA". It matches the Rfam family "Bacterial small subunit ribosomal RNA", at positions 29 to 507 of the family's 1533-position model. The record is from RNAcentral.